Molecule: ribosomal RNA, 1438 nt
Filed under: uncultured bacterium
Lineage: Bacteria
Description: 16S ribosomal RNA
Rfam family: Bacterial small subunit ribosomal RNA
Source: RNAcentral
UGAGUUUGAUCCUGGCUCAGGAUAAACACUGGCGGCGUGCAUUAGGCAUGCAAGUGGAACGAUCUUCCGGCUUGCCGGAAGAGAGUCGCGAACGGCUGAGUAACAGGUAAGUAUCUACCUUUUAGUGGGGAAUAGCUCCCGGAAACGGGGAUUAAUACCGCAUAAGAUCGUAAGAUGAAAGCUUUAAUUUAUUAAGGCGCUGAAAGAGGAACUUGCUUCCCAUCAGCUAGUUGGUGUGGUAAUGGCGCACCAAGGCUACGACGGGUAGGGGGCGUGAGAGCGCGUACCCCCAGAAUGGGACUGAGACACGGCCCAUACACCUACGGGUGGCAGCAACCGGGAAUUGUGCGCAAUGGACGAAAGUCUGACGCCGCGACGCCGCGUGAGGGAUGAGGGUCUUCGGAUCGUAAACCUCUUUUGCCACGUUUGAGAAAACGUGGAGAAUAAGUACUUGCUAACUCUGUGCCAGCAGCAGCGGUAAUACAGAGAGUACGAGUGUUGUCCGGAUUUACUGGGCGUAAAGCGUUUCGCAGGUGGUUUGAUAAGUCGUGCUUCAAAAACCGAGGCUUAACCUCGGGAAGGGGUGCGAUACUAUCAGACUUGAAGAUUGUCGGGGUUACUGGAACUGUCGGUGUAGGGGUGAAAUCCGUUGAUAUCGACAGGAACUCCAAGGGCGAAGGCAGGUAACUAGGCAAUAUUUGACACUCAUGAACGAAAGCUAGGGGAGCGAAAGGGAUUAGAGACCCCUGUAGUCCUAGCCGUAAACUUUGCUCGCUAGCUCUCCGAGUUUACUCGGUGGGCGUAAGCUAACACGUGAAGCGAGCCGCCUGGGGAGUACGGCCGCAAGGCUAAAACUCAAAGGAAUUGACGGGGACCCGCACAACCAGUGGAGCAUGUGGUUUAAUUCGAGACGAACCGAAGAACCUUACCUGGACUUGACAUACUACCGUUUAGGAACCUAGAAAUAGGAUCUGAUCUUGCAAUCUGUAAGAUGGUAGAACAGGUGUUGCAUGGCUACCGUCAGCUCGUGCCGUGGGGUGUUCCCUUAAGUGGGGUAACGAGCGCAACCCUUGCCGUAUGUUGAAUAUUCAUACGGAACUAUUGGUCUUUGUACCAAAGGAAGUGGGGAUGACGUUAAGUCAGCAUGGCCCUUAUGUCCAGGGCUACACACAUGCUACAAUGAGGCCGACAAUGAGUUGCCAAGCCGCGAGGCGGAGCUAAUCUCAUCAAACGGCCUCUCAGUGGGGAUUGAAGGCUGCAAUUUGCCUUCAUGAACGCGGAAUUGGUAGUAAUCGGAGGUCAGCAAAACUCCGGUGAAUACGUUCUCGGGUCUUGUACACACCGCCCGUCAAGGCAGCAAAGUUGGGGGCACCCGAAUCCCGAUUGUAUCGGGAGAAGGUGAACUCAGCGAUGAGGCUUAAGUCGUAACAAGGUAGCC